AUAAUUAUAUUUUUCUCAAUUACUUUUUCAUUUUUUGGGUUGUAUUUCUUUUUCGUUUUUACCUUGUCGAUUUCUGUGUAUAAUGAGAAAAUGAAAACUCUCAUACCGGAUGAUUAAUGCUUUUUCUAUCGAGGGGUGUAUGAGAAGAAGUUCAUUUUUUCUUGUCUACGUAGACAUUGAAAAAGUUUUAAAGAAAGAAAUAUGGAAAUCUAGAAAUGAGGCAACGUAAGAUUAAAAAAGUUUAGUAAAUCAACCUUGCCACUUGAACAAGGGCUAGUUUGGGAACAGACCUAGAAAGCUAAGUUCAUUCAGGACGAGGACAAAAAUU
Molecule: long non-coding RNA, 328 nt
Filed under: Vitis vinifera (wine grape)
Lineage: Eukaryota; Viridiplantae; Streptophyta; Magnoliopsida; Vitales; Vitaceae
Description: long non-coding RNA (VVIN_LNC005826)
Source: RNAcentral